GCCUUAGCUCAGUUGGCCAGAGCAUCUGACUUGUAAUCAGAGGGUCGUCAGUUCGAAUCCGACAGG
RNAcentral lists this transfer RNA (66 nucleotides) under bovine gut metagenome. It matches the Rfam family "tRNA", at positions 5 to 66 of the family's 71-position model. Rfam says of the family: Transfer RNA (tRNA) molecules are approximately 80 nucleotides in length. Their secondary structure includes four short double-helical elements and three loops (D, anti-codon, and T loops). The record is from RNAcentral.